UGAGAUCACGCCACUGGACUCCAGCCUGGGCAACAGAGUGAGACUCUGUCUCAAAAAAAAAAAAAAAUUACAUACUGUCGAGUAUGACCUAAAAACAUAGAGAGACUAUAUUUCAAUAGUAUGACAGGAUUAUGUUAGCUGCUAAUAACAGAACCCAAAAUAACAAUAGAUUAAAUAAAAGAUUAGUAUCCCAGGUAAAAGUCUAGAGGUAGGAAUUCUAGGACUAAGUGAAGGUUCUGCUCAGUGAAGUCCUCAGGGACACAGGCACCUUCAGCUCAUAACUCUAUCAUCCCUGGAGGGUACUUAAGGGUCCAGGAUGGCAGCCAAAAGUCGUACCUACGUUUUAAACAGCAGGGUGCUGGAAGGCAUAAAGAAAAAGCCAGAGGCACACGCCUGUUCUCACUUAAGGAAAAUUCCUGGAAACUGCCACAAUACACCUUCGCUUACAUCCCAUUGAUCAAAACGUGGAUGCAAAGCCACACCUUACUGUGGGGUACAGGGAAAAAAAACUUUUUUUGACAAUCAUGAGUUCAUUAACAGAAUUCAGGGAUCUCUUAAUACAGAAGCAAGGGAGAACAGCUGUUGGGGGACCACCGGAAGUCUCUGCUCUAAAGAACAAUGUAAAUACCUGGUGGUAGACUAACACUGAUGGCCUACAAUGAAUCACACCUACUGACAUUCAUGCCUUUGUGCAGAGUUCCACACUGAUGCUGGGCUUGGCCUUGUGACUUGUUUGGCCAAUAGGAUCUCAGCAAGCACCUUGAUAAGUGCUUGUGCAUUAGGGCUUGCUGUCCUGAAAUCCAGGUGCCAUGUAAGAAGUGUGGGUUAGUCCCUAUGAAGAUGACAGACCACAUGGAGAAAGAGGCUGAGCCUAUACCCACCCACCUACCAGAGAAGAUCAGCAGAAGAACCAGUGAAUCAUUAUUGCUUUAGUCAUUAAUUUGGGGGCAAUUUGUUAUACAGCGAUAGAUAAGUGGUACAGUACAUAGACAAAUUUCUGCAGUUCAUCGAGCAUUAGCACCAAAUAAGUAUACAACAGUGUUUGGAGCACUAAAGAGAGUAUAAAAUAUUGCUUAAAAUUGUUUCCUUGGCCUCAUGAAACAGAAAUCGGCUCUGAUUAGCAACCAAAAAAUGAGAAUUUAUUGGAAGAACACUAAAUAGAAUUAAAGAAAUGCCGAAAACCAAGAUUCAAGAAGGGCAGUGUGGUAGACAUAUCAAGCAGUGUAUAUGUCACCUAUAAGCCAAACAGCCUGGCCUAACUCCAGGGUCAUUGACCACUUGUUUUCCCCAACUGCCACCAUAGCAACCAACUGUAUGGGCCCUGCCCAGAGACUACUGAAGCAACAGACUUUACAUUGGCACAUCCCAGUGGUUCCCCUCCCUUUCCCCAAGCCACACACAUCUCACCUCCCACCCCAAGAGGGCUGAGAUAGUGCCUAACUGUUGGGCUUCUAACAAAGUGUAGCCGUAAGUGCAGUGGAGUUAAUGUCCUUGGGGUAAAUCUAAUCAAAACAAGAUGGGUCCAGCAUAUAAACUCCUCUCCUUCCUCCACCCAGACAGAUUGUCCUGAAACACAGUAGUCCAUACUACCUCUCAAAAUAUGACCCUCAUGAUACUGACCAAUCACCCGGGCUUGAUACCAAGAGGUAGCUAGUUCGGUAAUACACUAUUUUAUUAUUAAUAGUUUCUCUUCCUUCUUUGCCCAGCCCGUUCGUCUUCACUCCAGUUUCUCUCAAACUACACUCAGGCUCUGUUUUCUACAGAACCCAGGCUAAAAGACUUGGCACCAGGAGCGUCCUGCAGACACUCAGGAUGGAAUGCUAGAGUUGGGUUACUUACCGACCGUGUGGCAAUAAAGACCCAUGGCACAGCAGCCUCUAGGAGCUGAGGGUGCCCUCCAGCUGACAUCCAGAAAGAAAUUGAAGCCCUAGGUUGUGAAACCACAAGGACGUGAAUUCUGCCAACACAUAAUGUGAGUUUGAAAGCAGAUUCUUCCCCAGUUGAACUACCAUCUGAAAAUCCAGUUUGGGCUAACAACUUGAUUGCAGCCUUUCAAAAAAGAAUCAGCUAAGCUGUAUCCAGACUUCUGACCCAUAAAAACUGUGAGAUAGUAUAUCUGUGUUGCUUAAGCUGUUAAUUUUGCAGCAAUAUUUAAGUUGUUGCUGUUAAGUUACAUAGCAAUAGAUAAAUAUAAAAUAGUACAACCACUCUGGAAAAUAGUUUGACAUUUUCUUAUUGCAUUAAACAUACACCAACCAAAUGACCCAGCAAUUCCACACCCUAGAGAAGUGGAAAACAUAGGUCCCUCCCAAAAACUUAUACCUAUGUUAUAAAUACCUCGUUAUUUAUAACAACUUCAUUUGUAAUAGCUAAAAAUCAGGAAAAAAAAGUCCAUCAAUACAAAAAAGGAUAAAGAAAUUAUAGUAUAUUAAUACAGUACAAUGGAUGCAACUCAGCCAUAAAAUGGAAUGAACUUUUGAUAUAAACACAACAUGAAUGAAUCUCAAAAACAUUAUGCUAAGCUAAGGAAGCUGGACACAAAAUAGUAUGAACUGUAUGAUUUCACUUUUAUGAAAUUUUGAUACAGGCAAACAUAAUCUAUUGUGAAAGAAAUUGGACCAGUGGAUGCUCUGGGGAUUGAGGGCAAGCAUUGACUUGGAAAGGGAAUGGGAUAACUUCCUGCAGUGAUGGACAUGUUCUGUGUCUUGAGGUGUAGGUCACGGAGGUAUAUGCAUUCAUCAAAACUUUGGAACUUAAGAUCUGUGUUUGUUAUUAUUUGUAAAUUAUACUUCAAUUUUCAAAAAAAAAUUUUAGUAAGCAAAGAACAAGGGAACUAUCUGUUUGCUAAAGGAUGGUAGCAUGUCUCAGCCAAAUUACCCCCAAGACACUUGCAAAAAUAAAGAGACUAACUGAUGCCCUGUGGAGUCUGAAAGAACAUAAGGCUCUGGGAAAAAAAAGACACCUGUGACUGGUUGUGCCCUCUCAGUUGAUCUUUUUUGCUUUGAGCUUCAUUGACUCAAUCCACCCAAAGAAAAUCAUCCCUUCAAUGAAAGCCAUGAACUCCAUAUCCCAUAUCUAAUCAAUACGUAGUCAGAAAAUAAGCUAUACACAACCAAAGCUGCUCAAACAAGUUUCAGUGAUAACUUGAUCAUCCUUACCAUGUAGCUACUUCAAACAUGAUUUGCUUUUCACCAAUUAUAGAUAUUACCUAAUUCAAAGUAAUAUUUGUUGUGGUACUCUAGUGUAAGCAAAGUACAGAGAAUAAAUAGUCAAAAGACCUAUGAGCUCAAAACUGUCAGGGACAUCAAAAACGAGAAAAGUCUGAGACACUAUCAGAGUUCCAGGAGCUUAAGGAGAAAAGAAGACUAAAUAUAAUGGGGUAUCCUCGAUGGAAUCUUGGAACAGGAAAGGAUAUUAGAUAAAAACUAAGGAAAUCUGAAUAAAGUAUGGACUUUAGCUAAUAAUAAUGUUUCAGUGUUGGUUCCUUACUUGUAACAAAUGUACCAUACUAACUUAAGAUGUGAAUAAUAGGAGAAACUAUGUGCAGGGCCAGAGGUGGGAAGGUAUGGGAAAUGUACCAUUUUAUCUACUUCUCUGUUAAUGAAAAACUGCUCACAGCUAGGUGGGAGGAAUAAGUUCUAGUGUUCUAUACCACCGUAGGAUGACUUUAAUUAACAAUACUAUAUUAUACAGUUUCAAAUAGCUAGAAGGAAGGUAUUGGAAAUUCCCCACACAAAAAAUGAUAAAUAUUUGAGAUGACAGAUAUGCUAUUAAUAAUUAUCCUGAGCUGAUCACAUUAUAUAUAGAAACACUGCUCUGUAUCCAUACAUAUGUACGAUUAUUAUGUGUCAAUUAUAAAAAAGAAAUGCAAAGUUCUUGUUCCAUCCACCACUCACAGGAAGAUAAUCAUUACUCAUGUUAGUGCUUUAGUUUGGACUUUGCUAUGGCUUGAAUAUGGUUUGUCCACACCAAAAAGCAAACCAUCAAACAAAAAAAAUUGCUCUAAAAUUAAAAUUUGUUUUUUUAAAAACCAAAACCUAUGAGAGCAAAUUUUUAUAUAAUUUAUUAGGAAGAUCUGGGAGACAAGCACUGCAAGGGCAUGCUCUGGGAGAUUUAUCACAUACAAAAGACUAAGAAAGGACAGGAUUAAAAUAUGAGGUCAGAAGAAAAAACUCAACACCCCAGGAACAGAAUCAGUGCUUUUUCCUCCAAAUAGUUAUUUUGAAUGUAAUCAGCAUCAACCAGCCUCUCUUCUGCCAGCUCUUAUUAUUUCUAUUUUAUCCCCUGCCAAUCUGGAUGUGGGACAAGUGCAAGUUCCUCCAAAGAAACUACUGGUGUAAAAGUAUAAAUGGGAAACGUAGUUGUUUUUGAUGAUUUUGUAAGAAAAAUGGAGAAGACAUUUAUGUUGAACAUGGAAAACAUGUUUUAAAUCUCUUUAUAUUGGAGAUUAGUAAUGAUAUUAUUUGGAUGAUAGGAGAAAUUUGAAUAUGGACUGAAUAUUAGAUAUUGUAUUGUAUCAAGUUUAAGUUUCUGGGUGAAAUAACUAUGUUGUGGUCAUGUAGAGAACAGCCUUGUUCUUAGGAGACACAUGCUGAAGUAUUUGGUGGUGAAGUGUCGUGAUGCUUACAACCAAUUCUCAAACAGUUCAGAAAAUUAUACACAGGUGCACAUUUGUCUCUUUAUCUAUUUAUCUGCCUAUCUAUACACAAAAUGUGUAUACACAAAUAUUUAUUAAAAUAUAUACCCUCUUUUUCUGUGUACUAUAUGGAAGGGGUAUAUGAAUAAUUGCUAUACUAUUCUUGCAACUUUUCUAAAUUAUUGAUAUUUGUCAAAAUAAAACAUUUGUGAGAA
RNAcentral lists this long non-coding RNA (4851 nucleotides) under Homo sapiens (human). RNAcentral describes it as "HSALNT0373294". Lineage: Eukaryota; Metazoa; Chordata; Mammalia; Primates; Hominidae. The record is from RNAcentral.